GCCGGGGUAGCUCAGCUGGUUAGAGCACUUGAUUGUGGAUCAAGGGGCCGGCGGUUCAAAUCCGCCCCCCGGUA
RNAcentral lists this transfer RNA (74 nucleotides) under Candidatus Zixiibacteriota bacterium. RNAcentral's name for it is "candidate division Zixibacteria bacterium tRNA-His". It matches the Rfam family "tRNA". Rfam says of the family: Transfer RNA (tRNA) molecules are approximately 80 nucleotides in length. Their secondary structure includes four short double-helical elements and three loops (D, anti-codon, and T loops). Further hydrogen bonds mediate the characteristic L-shaped molecular structure. tRNAs have two regions of fundamental functional importance: the anti-codon, which is responsible for specific mRNA codon recognition, and the 3' end, to which the tRNAs corresponding amino acid is attached (by aminoacyl-tRNA synthetases). tRNAs cope with the degeneracy of the genetic code in two manners: having more than one tRNA (with a specific anti-codon) for a particular amino acid; and 'wobble' base-pairing, i.e. permitting non-standard base-pairing at the 3rd anti-codon position. The record is from RNAcentral. Lineage: Bacteria; Pseudomonadati; Candidatus Zixiibacteriota.